RNAcentral lists this long non-coding RNA (6835 nucleotides) under Sus scrofa (pig). Its description in RNAcentral is "lncRNA (ENSSSCG00040002620.1)". The record is from RNAcentral. Lineage: Eukaryota; Metazoa; Chordata; Mammalia; Artiodactyla; Suidae.
AUGAUGAGGUGCUACAUUUUCAAAGAGACAUCAUGUGUCUUUCUAACAACACUCACUUUCCUCUUAAAAUGGCCCCACAUGAAAUUUAAGGACACAAGUCGAAUUUUUUUUUUUUCUUUCGACAGGCCAUCAAAGGAGUGAUUUCAGGGCUAUCAAAUAGACAUAAUUCAGGGUCCAUUUUAUAAUCCCUUUAUACAUAGCCUGCGAAAAAUUUCACAGUGAAAACUGUCACAAGCUUCUACUCCUGGUGCCAAUGGCUAAUUUGCAACCUCUCUUUGACCUGCUGGGUUGUUAUCAGUUAAAAAAUAAACCCUUACUGGAGAUUUAGAUAUUUUGACAAAUAUAUAAAAAUUUGAGCCAUGAGCCCUGUAAAAAAUGGUCAUGGAGGAAAAUAACACAGAAAAGUUACCAGGAAAGAGCUCAAUGAACUUUCUCCUUGUUAAGAAAUGUUUAAAUCCUUUUGUUUGUAAAUGGCAGGUGGGUUGUACAAUUCCAAUGUAAUUUCAGAAAGCCAUCUUCUGAAUGUAAUAAACAUGUCGGCAAUAAUAGGAUUCAGAAAAUAGCAAAAUGCAUUCCAGACGCACUUUGAUUGUGCAUACAGAACAGAGAAUUUAGCUAUAAUUGGCUAUAACACAGUUAUGGACAGCAAAUGACACACUGUGGGUUUGGGUGAUGUAGCAACCCUGAUUAGCGCUGUUCGUUUUAGCCAAACACCAGAAAUAAAAUAAUGACUCUGUAGUGACACAGCACCUUUUCUUCCUCCCACCCUCCCUCCCUCUCGUUUUUUCCUUCCUCAUUUUUCCCCUUCUGUUUAACUGAAGUAUCAUAACUUAGACUAGAAAACUUAUGCUCUCAUUACUCAACAAAUCAAUUAUCAGCCAAGACUCCAUUCUUUCCAGAGACGAACAAUCGUAUGUGAAGGGGGAAGCAAAAGCCCAUGGAGAAUUGACUUUUGGAGAACUAGAUGUAAUUUGAAUCAAGAAUUAUAAUAGGAAAUAAACCAUUACAAUAAACAAGGAAACAUGUACACAAUUACUUUCACAGUGUAAUUUUAUUCACUCUAGUUGAGAAAAUAAAGAGAUAAUACUGACCGUAGCACCUGGGUAUUUAAUGCAAACUGUAAAAUCUAUUAUAUUAAACAAAGUCAAAAGCAAUGCGAAAGAUCUUGAAUCUAUUCAAGGCAUGCACCUCAUUACAGACUUAGCAAAUUAAAACACAAAUAGGAUUAGAAAAGAAUAAUGUAACAAUCUCCCACCACGGUCCCUAGAGCAUUAAGUCAUAAAUUGGGUUUGCAUUAAAUUGUGCCUGCAGUAUUGAAUUCAGUGAAAGAGCUGUGGGCUGGAGAUAAACCAUGCUGGGCUACUCACCAACUUUGGCAAAGCUAUGUGUUUUCUGAGACAUGUAGUAAAUUUGUUAGAAUAUAGCAGGCCCACGAAAAAAAAUGAGCACUUCAUAUCUUAAUUAAAAAAAUGUCCAUGUCACAUCAUAUCAAACCUCCUCUUUUAGAGAACACAAAUGGGCUUUUAGACUAUCCAGAGGAAUGUCCUUUUUUUUUUUUUCCAGUUGAAGAUUAGACCUUAACCACUCUGGCUGAUUUAUAGAAAAAUAUAUAUGACUUAUUUUUAAAGCAAGUGGAUGUACUUAAAUCAGUUUUUUCAAGUGAUUCAAAAUUGAAAAAUGUUGUCCACCACGUGUCCUUCCAUUCCAGGCUCUGUUCGGUUUAUGUCCUAACCCUUGAGUGAGGGAACCUAAAUCAGGCAAAAGGAAAUGGUUCUGAUUUUGGCGCCCCUGCAUUAAUUGCUUAUCUGCUGCCUCUUUGCAUAUGGCAGGCCAAAGGCAGAAAGCAGGCUGUGGGUCCUGCUUCCUUGGGGGCCCUAUCCCAGAGUAGAACUCAGUUUAUUUUCUCUGACUUCCUAAGGCUGUUAUGAGGAUUAAAGAAAAUCAGUGUAGAAUGCCUCGGUGCUCAAAAAACGUUGGUCUCCCUGCUCCCACUUCAUCACUGAGUGUAAGUCACAGAAGCAACCUCCACAAGGACACCCGAUUUCACUGGUUCCCCCAGUGGGAGUAGAGCCUUCUAGGUUCAAUGGAGCGCAGGAACGUCUCAGGUCGGUAGUGAGAUCUGUCCAGACCCUCCUGGUGGAGGAGGGCCACGUGCCUCUUCCUCACCAGGCACUUUCUUUUCCCUCCCUCGCCUCUGAUUCCCAUCGCCUCCCUCCCAGCCUUUGCAGCUGUCCUGGUCAUCAGGCGAAGUGUCCCUUCAUCACACUCAGCAGAAGACAGCCUGUUUAAACUGGCGCUGUCUAUUUUUAAGAGCUAUUUUGGAAGUCUAAGCGGCUCCCGUUUUGGCUUUAGUAAGACAAAUCUGGGCUAAAACACCCAGUGCCUCUUAAGUGUGAUGGAUACCCAGGACCCGCUGAAGUUUCCCGUAGCCACCGUCUGGUUCGUCCUAGUGGCAGUUUUUCUGCCAUGUUAUUUAUGUGGUGGUUUUACUUCUAAUUACGGCUCAUGAUGGCUGUUAGUGCUGAGCAGUAAGAGAGCAAACGGCAUUGUACUGCCAUUUAACUCCAGCCCAUAAAACGGGCGAUAAAGCUGAGGGCUUCACACCAAAACAGAAGCCCCCCCCCCAAAAAAAAAACCCGACCAUAACUUUCUGUGACAAGCUCACCUCCACCGCUGCCACUCUGAGGCUGGAAACUUUCACUGAUGAAGCACAUGGAGGCAGGUGACUCCCGAGGCCUCGGAGCCUCAAAUUUCAGCCCCGGCUUCAUUGUUAAGUCAUCCUUUAUUGUAGACAGAACAACCCCAGACCUCGGAUAUAAUUAACACAUGCCAGGUUUCAUCAGAACCAGGGUACUUGUUGUUUGGAAACUAAUGAAAGCAAAUAGAUGUUACUUAACACCGUCCAUAAUGAAAGGUCUUUUGUGGUUCUCAAUUUUGAUUACUGUUUUUUGAUGCUAAGAAGAAUGCCACUUGGUAUGUGCAUAAACAAAGAAGAUAAAUGGCCAGGAUGAGAAUGAGUUGUCCAUAAUCUGAUUAAAGCAAUAGAGCUGGCUCCUAGGAGAACCACACGGGGUUUAAUGAUUGGGUUGUUGUUCUUAAUACGUCUCAUGUUCACUCUUAAAGAAAUCAAGAAAAAUGUUAAGAGGUUACUGAUAUUUCACUCUGGCGUUGGGCUGUCAGAGCUUCUGACAGGGAAAGAACAUUCUCUUUGGCUGGAACAUAAAGUCCAGCCACGUAGGAAGCUCAUUUGCCCAAAUGAUAGCAGGAGGCAUUUAAAACCGAAAUCUGCCCCCAUUCACUCACUCCGCGGGCAGAGCCGUCACGGAUGAGGCAAGGACAGGCUUGGCUUUGCUGAAGGUGCAAUGUGAUAAAAUAGCUGAGAAACGCCACUCAUCUUCUGUUUCGUUAAUUCCUCUUCUUUCUUGACAGAAUGCUUCCGGAUUUCGGGAAGAUGUCUGCUAGCGUUUGGAUAGUAAAUACAUUCUUUAAAAGCUCGGGAAUACUCUAGGCUGCUGGGAUGUUAGGGAGAAGAGUCACACCAUUCUCAAGCUCUGCAGGAGCUGGCCAUGGUUGAAUGUAGUGAGUUGCUUCUUCAUUCCUUCCUGUUGGUGAGUUCUGAGGUCCUCUGUGUGUGUGUGUGUGUGUGUGUGUGUGUGUGUGUGUGUGUGUGCAUAGUCACACCGUUACUCAUAGGUGACUGGUCCUAGAAAUCUACGUCAGUCUAACAGCUUGAGCGACAGAGAGAGGGCUGACUCUGGCUACUGUGCAUCGCCUCCAGGAUACACAAUCAACAUAAGCUCUCAGGAAUCUAAUAAAUUUUAAGAUGACUCCAGUGACAUUCAGCCAUUAAGAUCUUUGUUGCCUUUGAAACUCUACACUGGGUCAUUGGAUUCUGGAUGGACAGGAAUUGGGUUAUUUUGCUUAUUUUAUUUAUUUUUGGGGGGGCCAUGCCCACAGCACACAGAGGUUCCCUAGGCAAGGAUUGAACCCACACCAUAGCAGCGAUCUGAAUGCUGUAGUGACAAUGCUGGAUCCUUAACCUACUUCACCACAAAGGCACUCCUGUUCUGCUUAUUUAAAACCGGUCAUCUAAGUGAUUUUGAGCGCUCUGAACUUCGGUUUCAGUUCCUCAGAUACAUAUUUGAACAUCCACUGUGUGUUAAUGUCCCAUUUUACAGAUGAGAAAGCUGAGGUUCAGAGAGAUUAAAUAACUUCCCCAAGACCCCUAGCUGAGUGGUUAGUCAGUAGCUUAGUCCCAACUGAAUAAAAUCCAUCUGAUUCUCAAGUUUACCUUUCUGCCAUCCUACUGGUCUCAAUCAACAGUUAAACCUCCAUGUUUCAAUGAAUAUAAAAUAUCCCUGUGUGGUCUCUUUUCUUUUCUUUUGCUUUUUAGGCCCGAAUAUGUGGCACACGGAGGUUCCCAGGCUAGGGGUCGAAUUGGAGCUGCAGCCACCAGCCUAACCCACAGACUCAGCAAGGCUAAAUCCAAGCUGCAUCUCUGACCUACACCACAGCUCACGGCAACACCAGAUCCUUAACCCACUGAGUGAGCCCAGGGAUUGAACCUACGUCCUCAUGGAUACUAGUCAGGUUCAUUACUGCUGAGCUGCAACAGGAAUUCCCGUGUGGUCUCUUUUCUUGAUAGAGCCUAUGAAUCUGACAAAAACAGGUGAUUGGCCCUCUCCCAGGCAAGGAGAAGCACAGAGGCUUGGCCUGCUUGCUCCCUGCACCUGGGCAGGUGGGGCAUGAUUUCCACGUACUUCUCAGCUCCUUGUUAGUGGCCUCCUCUUUCCCUCGCAGACCAGACUUCGGCUUCCGUCACUUCCCAAGCCCAACAGACUGGUUGGGUUCCCAGAGACAUGGGAAGGACAUUGGUUGGAAAUGAAUUGAGAGAGAGUUGUCUUUUCUGAGCCUUUCCCUUCUCCCACUGGCCCAUUUUGGAGCCAUGUGGUCGGUCACAUCUUGGCACCACCACUCGCGGGCAGGGAGAGGAAAUGAAAGGAGAUGACAAAACCACAGCUGUGUUAUUUAUUAGGCCUCGAUUUUUUUUUAAAUGAUGGAGAAAAAGGUGGAACUAAGCUGCUUUCUCUUAGAAAAUGCUGGCAGUAAUUUUAGUGGCAGGUUUUAAACAUCUGAAUGUAUUAGCUAUAAUGAGCUCUGCAGCAGGGUGGUGAGGAGAGAGCCCAAGGCUCAUUGGCAGGGUCGGGGUGACCUUGGGCAAGCCACUUCCCAUCUCUAGGCCUCAGUUCCCCCUUCUGUACCGAGCGCCCGUGCAGCCUGGUGAUCCCUGUGACUUCCUGGGAAUGCGGCCGGGGUGGGGCAGACCACCUGCUCUGGAGUCAGCUGAUGGCUCUGAAUCUUGACUCUGUUGGAGUUCUCAUUGUGGCUCAGUGGAAACGAACCUGACUAGUGCCCACGAGGAAGCUGGUUUGAUCCCUGACCUCGCUCAGUGGGUUAACUGUCCGGGGUUGCCACGAGCUGUGGUGUAGGUUGCAGGCGGGGCUUGGAUCUGGUGUUGCUGUGGCUCUGGUGUAGGCUAGCAGCAUUAGCUCUGAUUCGACCCUUAGCCUGGGAACGUCCAUGAGCCACACCUGUGGCCCAAAAUAAAAUAGAGUCUUAGCUCUGUCAAUCAGUCCUUGCAGGAGCUGUGUGACCUGGGGUCAGUUACUCAGCUUCUCUGAAGCUCAGUUUCCACCUCUGUAAAAUGGGGAUAAGGGUCCAGCUCAGUGUUCAUUAAGAGGUUUGGACUGGUCAAUGCAUGAAUAGCUUCUGGAGAAGGCAUUUUCCCAGAACCGGAAGGAAGAACUGGUGAGGAGGAUGCUUAGAAGGCAAAUGAUCUUGGUGAGACGUGCACGCUGGGAGAGGCUGGGGGUGGGAGGAGUGGGGUUCUGGGCGACCCUUCCCAAGAGAGGAGAAAACCAAGUACCUGUUAGUAGCAGGACAGAAAACGGAGUGCCUCAGUGCCAACCUUCGUCAGGAACAUGGCCUUGAGGGAAAAAAAGAAAUCUCAGAACACUCUCGCUUCCUUGCCUCCUGCUUUUCAUUUCUUAACUCUUUAUUUUUAAUGAAGAUGGGAAGGUUUACAAUUUUGACAGUUCCAUUUAUUUCUAGCAUUUUCAUCUAAAACAAUACAAUGAGCAGCAAUUAUUCCACCCGGAUGUCGGCUGCAGCUGGAUAAAUGUCACUAGUAAUUAAACGUGCUCUGUGCACUCUGUGCUGUCUCUUCCGUUCGCUGUCUGUCUGUCUGUCUCCUUCUUUACCACCAACCACCAAACCAUCCCUUUGUCCUUCCUCCUUCUCACCCCCACCCUCCAUUCUCAUAGAGGGGCACAAGAAAGUACCGAAUAGGGACCCGGUUGACCUCAAGGGGCUGAGCCGCGUGCAUGAAGUGCCCAGAAGAGCAAAUCCUCCCCCAGAGGGCAGGUGGAGGAUCCCAGGGAAGGAGAGCGGCUGCCUUCCAUUCCUGGGCUCGCCUUCCACUCCGUAUCUAAUGCCUCCAGGCCACAGGGGGGCGCCCCGGCUGCUCCUCUGUGCAGGGACGCUGCUCCUCUGGCCUGUCCCUAUCAGUGUCCUCUGUCCUAAGCAGAGGGUCCUGCAUCUGAGCAAGGGGAAGGAGAUAACUCCCAAGCCCCAAUUUCCCCAGGAUUCCUCCUCAGGUGUCACUCACCCAGGUAGCUGGGGCUCUAUGGACACCAAGAAAGCAAUAGGAGCUUUCUUUGCAAAAUCAUGGUCAAAUAUUUAUAUUUGUUUAGGAUUUGCUUCCAUAGGAUUUGUUGUUGUUGUUAAUUCUAAUUUAUUUCCAAAAUAAAUCUGAAUCUCUUUUAUAGGUAAACAC